CUUAUACUGCCUCCGUCCGGAAUUACUUGCCGCACAAAUGGAUAAAAAAGGAUGUAUCUAAAACUAAAAUACAUAUAGAUACAUCCAUUUUUAUGACAAGUAUUUCCAGACGGAGGGAGUAUCAU
Hordeum vulgare subsp. vulgare (domesticated barley) is the source of this 125-nucleotide non-coding RNA. The record is from Rfam. NCBI's taxonomy places the organism in Eukaryota, Viridiplantae, Streptophyta, Magnoliopsida, Poales, Poaceae.